Molecule: ribosomal RNA, 253 nt
Filed under: uncultured bacterium
Lineage: Bacteria
Description: partial 16S ribosomal RNA
Rfam family: Bacterial small subunit ribosomal RNA
Source: RNAcentral
UACGAAGGGGGCUAGCGUUGCUCGGAAUGACUGGGCGUAAAGGGCGCGUAGGCGGUGCAUUGGGUCAGGCGUGAAAUUCCUGGGCUUAACCUGGGGACUGCGCUUGAGACGGGUGUGCUGGAGGGCAGGAGAGGCUCGCGGAAUUCCCAGUGUAGAGGUGAAAUUCGUAGAUAUUGGGAAGAACACCGGUGGCGAAGGCGGCGAGCUGGCCUGUACCUGACGCUGAGGCGCGACAGCGUGGGGAGCAAACAGG